AGAGUUUGAUCCUGGCUCAGGACGAACGCUGGCGGCAGGCUUAACACAUGCAAGUCGCACGAGAACGUUUUGGCUUUGCCAAGACAAGUACAGUGGCGGACGGGUGCGUAACGCGUAGAUAACCUACCCUCAGGCGCGGGACAAUCGCGGGAAACCGUGGCUAAUACCGCACGUCGUCUGGACCCCGCAUGGGAUCCAGAUGAAAGCCUUCGGGUGCCUUUGGAUGGAUCUGCGUUGGAUUAGCUCGUUGGUGAGGUAACGGCUCACCAAGGCAACGAUCCAUAGCUGGUCUGAGAGGACGAUCAGUCACACUGGGACUGAGACACGGCCCAGACUCCUACGGGAGGCAGCAGUGGGGAGUCUUGCACAAUGGGGUCACCCCUGAUGCAGCCAUGCCGCGUGGAGGAAGACACCCCUAUGGGGCGUAAACUCCUUUUCUGAGAGAAGAAACCUCUGUAGGUUCAGAGCGCGACGGUAUCUCAGGAAUAAGCACCGGCUAACUCCGUGCCAGCAGCCGCGGUAAUACGGAGGGUGCAAGCGUUGUCCGGAAUCACUGGGUGUAAAGGGUGUGCAGGCGGGGCAACAAGUCGGAGGUGAAAGCCCAUGGCUCAACCAUGGAAGUGCCUUCGAAACUGUUGCUCUUGAGUCCCGGAGAGGUUGUCGGAAUUCGUGGUGUAGCGGUGAAAUGCGUAGAUAUCACGAGGAACACCAGAGGCGAAAGCGGACAACUGGACGGGUACUGACGCUCAGGCACGAAAGCGUGGGGAGCAAACAGGAUUAGAUACCCCGGUAGUCCACGCCGUAAACGAUGAA
Molecule: ribosomal RNA, 813 nt
Filed under: uncultured bacterium
Lineage: Bacteria
Description: bacterial SSU rRNA
Rfam family: Bacterial small subunit ribosomal RNA
Source: RNAcentral